AGCAGCCGCGGUAAUUCCAGCUCCAAUAGCGUAUAUUAAAGUUGCUGCAGUUAAAAAGCUCGUAGUUGGAUUUCUGGCUUCAAACAUUUAGCCGGCCACGGUUUCGUGUGUUAGUGUUAGAUGUUGUGGCCAUCCUUCCAAUUGCUAUUGGCUUAUCUUCAUUGAUUGGUCAGUAGUAUUGGAUCUUUUACUUUGAAAAAAU
Molecule: ribosomal RNA, 202 nt
Filed under: uncultured Glomus
Lineage: Eukaryota; Fungi; Glomeromycota; Glomeromycetes; Glomerales; Glomeraceae
Description: partial 18S ribosomal RNA
Rfam family: Eukaryotic small subunit ribosomal RNA
Source: RNAcentral